UACGUAGGGGGCUAGCGUUGUCCGGAUUUAUUGGGCGUAAAGAGCGUGUAGGCGGCCAGAUAGGUCUGCUGUGAAAACUCGAGGCUCAACCUCGAGACGUCGGCGGAAACCAUCUGGCUAGAGUCCGGAAGAGGAGAGUGGAAUUCCUGGUGUAGCGGUGAAAUGCGCAGAUAUCAGGAAGAACACCCGUGGCGAAGGCGGCUCUCUGGGACGGUACUGACGCUGAGACGCGAAAGCGUGGGGAGCAAACGGG
This 253-nucleotide ribosomal RNA is filed under the name uncultured bacterium. Its description in RNAcentral is "partial 16S ribosomal RNA". It matches the Rfam family "Bacterial small subunit ribosomal RNA", at positions 524 to 776 of the family's 1533-position model. The record is from RNAcentral.